GAAGUGAUACUCCUGCUUCAGCCUUCCAGGUAGCUGGGAUUACAGGUGCGUGCCACCAUGCCCAGCUAAUUUUUGUAUUUUUAGUAGAGACGGGGUUUCACUGGUUGGCCAGGCUGGUCUCGAACUCCUGACCUCGGUGAUCCGCCUGACUUGGCCUCCCAAAGUGCUGGGAUUACAGGCAUGAGCCACUGUGCCUGGCCUAAAAACAUUUAUUUUUAGAUUUUAGUAUUUUUAUUUUACUAGAAAAUCUAAAUUCAUGUUUUCUUUGCUAUAGCUAUUUACUCUGGCCGAGAGCUUGGGAGGAUUUGAAAGCCUUGCUGAGCUUCCGGCAAUCAUGACUCAUGCAUCAGUUCUUAAGAAUGACAGAGAUGUCCUUGGAAUUAGUGACACACUGAUUCGACUUUCUGUGGGCUUAGAGGAUGAGGAAGACCUACUGGAAGAUCUAGAUCAAGCUUUGAAGGCAGCACACCCUCCAAGUGGAAGUCACAGCUAGUAUUCCAGAGCUGCUAUUAGAAGCUGCUUCCUGUGAAGAUCAAAUCUUCCUGAGUAAUUAAAUGGACCAACAAUGAACCUUUGCAAAAUUUUCAAGCAGAAAUUU
Molecule: small RNA, 598 nt
Filed under: Pan troglodytes (chimpanzee)
Lineage: Eukaryota; Metazoa; Chordata; Mammalia; Primates; Hominidae
Description: processed transcript
Source: RNAcentral